AAAAGUUAUGUCUAAUAAAUAUGUGAACAAUAUAUUUUUUUUUUACAAAUAACAAUUAGAUUAUUUUUAUAUAAUAUUUGUGAAUUUAAGUUGAAAGACUAUAUCAUAUAUACCAGAAUUAUAAAAUAUUGUUCUUAAUAUACAUGAAAUGAUAUUAAAGAUUUGAUUAAUAGUAAAAUGAAAUUAUCUUAGAUGUUGCAUGUGAAGCUCUACUAAAAUUCUUAUAUAGGUAUAGAUAUAAAUCCACGUCAAAUUGAGUGAAAUGAUAUAGGUAUAUAUAUAAAUCCCAUUUGAUGCUAAUUUUAUUUUCUAAUUCUAGUAGGUUAAAAUAAUUAUUUUUUAAGCUGAUAAAAGUUAACAUAUAUUUAUUCAUUUUUGUCAUUUUCUAUCUAACGUUUUUUCUCCCUUUCUCCACUCUCAAGUGAUUUCUCUCCUCUCCACCGCCAGCGCUCUCUUAGGAGAAAUAACUUACAUGUUCCCACAUGACAAUUCUAUUUUACUAUAGUUUAUUAUUAUCUUGUGGAUGUUGGCUAUAUAUACACAUAGCGAAGGAUCUCUUGCCCCAUAUACAGGGUGUUACUAUCAUCGAAGUGAAUGGAGAUAGAGGUAUACAUCGUCGAAUAAUCAAGAGCUUUUAAAUAUGAGUCACUCUACGGCAAGAAAUGUGUUAGAAAGAACUUUUGAAUUGUUAAAUAUGCAACGGGGGAGCCGGUCUUUCUAUCCGAUCAAGACUGAAAUUCGCAUUAUAAAUGCUUGUUGUCUUUUAGACAAUUUUAUUUGGAGAGAAAUGCUUGGCUCAAUGGAAGAACAGUUAGACAUAGAUAUUGAGGCACAACAACAAAACAAAUAUAUUGUACAUAUCGUUCUCCCUCCUAAUAAUACUUCGGAGAUAGAUAAAGAAGAGACAAAACAAAUUAAUAAUGAGGAGUUUGAAGUAGAAAUUACUCAAUGAUCAAAUGAUCAAAUGAAAAUUCAAUCAAAGAGAAGAAACAAUAGAGCAUAUAUUGUUUUGCUAAUAAAUUUAUAAGUUAGAAAAAACUUUUGGGAAUUGACUUGAAAAAAGUUCAGAACGAUUAAGUGAAGCUGCAAAUCAUUUAGGUGUUGGUAAAUAUGUGUUUGAUGAUUCAAGAAAUAUUAUGAAUGAGUUGAAGAAAAUGUAGUUAACAUAAUAAGAGCGUUUUGCUGCACCAGAUAAAAUAUUAUAUAUGUCACAUUGCAUGUACAUAUUUUAAUAUUGUGAAGAUGUUGAACGUCUUGUAUAUGUUAAGUUGUUAUCUAAUAGUCCUAUUAUUGUAUGUGAUUUUACUUGUAUGAUUUGAUGAAAGAUGUAAGAUAACAUACUAUUGUGUAUG
This is a long non-coding RNA of Cicer arietinum (chickpea), 1352 nucleotides long. RefSeq lists it as uncharacterized. The record is from RefSeq and is a predicted model, not a curated record. NCBI's taxonomy places the organism in Eukaryota, Viridiplantae, Streptophyta, Magnoliopsida, Fabales, Fabaceae.